ACAAGGAUUCCCCUAGUAACGGCGAGUGAAGAGGGAAGAGCUCAAAUUUUGAAUCUGGCGUCUUUGGCGUCCGAAUUGUAAUCUAGAGAAGUGUUUUCCGUGACGGACCGUGCAUAAGUCUCCUGGAAUGGAGCGUCAUGGAGGGUGAGAAUCCCGUAUAUGGCACGGACUCCCGUUGCUCUGUGAUACACUCUCGACGAGUCGAGUUGUUUGGGAAUGCAGCUCUAAACGGGUGGUAAAUGCCAUCUAAAGCUAAAUAUUGGCGAGAGACCGAUAGCGAACAAGUACCGUGAGGGAAAGAUGAAAAGCACUUUGGAAAGAGAGUGAAACAGUACGUGAAAUUGUUGAAAGGGAAACGCUUGAAGUCAGUCGCGCCGUUCGGGAUUCAGCCUUGCUUCUGCUCGGUUUACUUCCCGUUGGGUGGGUCAACAUCAGUUUYGGUCGGAGGAGAAAGACUUGGGGAAGGUGGCAGCAUUCGUGCUGUGUUAUAGCCCCUUGUUGUAUACUUCGACUGGGACUGAGGAUCGCAGCACGCCUUUGGCCGGGGUUCGCCCACGUACGUGCUUAGGAUGUUGGCAUAAUG
RNAcentral lists this ribosomal RNA (583 nucleotides) under Sebacina cf. epigaea Y104. RNAcentral's name for it is "eukaryotic LSU rRNA". It matches the Rfam family "Eukaryotic large subunit ribosomal RNA", at positions 68 to 636 of the family's 3401-position model. Lineage: Eukaryota; Fungi; Basidiomycota; Agaricomycetes; Sebacinales; Sebacinaceae. The record is from RNAcentral.